AGAAAGACUCCUGAUUGUGGGUGAAGAGAUCUGAGGUUUGGUCUCUGGUGCCAUCACUCAUGAGGGAACCUUGGGUUCAUCUCUAGUCGGCUUCAGGUUCCCUUUCCAAGAGAGUCAGGAAGAAAGUCCAACAGGAGCUUUGCCAGUUCUGACAUUCUCUCACGUGAAUACACACAGCUUGCGUGGCAGCAUUCUGGUCUCAUGUCUUAGUCACAAAGGUACUCCACUGCAUCAGAAUAUUUUCCUUGGCUGUGACCUCAGGCCAGGCCAUAGGUCAGGACAGAAGAUAACACAGGGACCAUAUUGCUAUGGAGAAGAAAACAAGAAGCUAUCUGUUUUUCAAACAUAGAUGUGGAAUUAGGAAGUGAGAAAGAAAUGGAAUCUGGACUCAUCCAGUGGACUGGCAUGAUGUGCUGAGGCAGUUGUCUUGAACAUAUCAGUUCCAGCUGCUGAAACACUGGGACCAUAGAGGGGUGAUGGAAAUAAGAAGAUGAAGGUCAAUUAGGACCACGGUGGGGUUGGGGAAGACAAAGGCUUUGGUUUCUCUCUGAUGGGAUGCUGAUGGGAUGUUCAUUGCAGGGGCGAUUCUGGAACUGAGUUUCAGAAUGAGCUUUCACGGGCUAGGUGAAAUCACACACUAAAGGCUAGGAGUGGUCCAGGAGGCAAAAGCAACAGAUCAGGGAGAGGUCAGAAGCCGGAACCAGGGUAGUGGCAAUGGGGUAGGAAAGAGAAGGACGUGGGCAGCAGAAUGGCUACAGUUUGGGAAUUAUCUGGACACCAGGGUAGCAUUCUGAUCAGUUUUAUAUCAACUUGGCACAAUCCAGAGUCAUUUAGAGUCAGACUCUAAACUGAGAAAUGCCUCCCUAAGGUUGGGCAAUAGGCAAGUGUGAGAUCUAUUUUUAAUUAAUGCUUGAUGUGGAUGGAAGUGGCAGUGGGGGGUUCAUCUGGGUAGUAUAAGCAAGCCAUGAGGAGCAAGUCGGUAAGCAGCGUUCUCCAUGGCCUCUGCUUCAGCUGCUGCCUCCAGGGACCUGCCUUGAGUUCCUGGCCUGCCCUCCCUUACUGAUAAAACACGACCUGAAAGUUAUAAGG
This 1089-nucleotide long non-coding RNA is filed under the name Mus caroli (Ryukyu mouse). RNAcentral describes it as "lncRNA (MGP_CAROLIEiJ_G0005019.1)". Lineage: Eukaryota; Metazoa; Chordata; Mammalia; Rodentia; Muridae. The record is from RNAcentral.